RNAcentral lists this ribosomal RNA (264 nucleotides) under uncultured bacterium. RNAcentral's name for it is "partial 16S ribosomal RNA". It matches the Rfam family "Bacterial small subunit ribosomal RNA", at positions 29 to 309 of the family's 1533-position model. The record is from RNAcentral.
AAUGAACGUUGGCGGCGUGGAUUAGGCAUGCAAGUCGAACGAUAUCUGUAGCAAUACAGUGAAAGUGGCGAAAGGGAGAGUAAUACGUAGGUACCUGCCCUCGGGUCUGGGAUAGCUGCGGGAAACUGCAAUUAAUACCGGAUGACGUCUCUGGACCAAAGGUGUGAUUCCGCCAGAGGAUGGGCCUGCGUCCUAUCAGCUAGUUGGUGUGGUAAUGGCGCACCAAGGCUAAGACGGGUACGGGGUGUGAGAGCAUGCCCCCGC